RNAcentral lists this long non-coding RNA (1194 nucleotides) under Equus asinus (donkey). RNAcentral describes it as "lncRNA (ENSEASG00005028765.1)". Lineage: Eukaryota; Metazoa; Chordata; Mammalia; Perissodactyla; Equidae. The record is from RNAcentral.
CUUAACUGGACCACAGGAUGCCCAGACUUUUAGCCAAACAUUAUCCUGUGUGUGUCUGGGAGACUGUUUCUGGAUGACAUGGACAUUUGAAUCCAUAGACUGAGUAAAGCAGAUUGCCCUCCCGAAUGGAGGUAGGCCUCAUCUAGUGAGGUGAAGACGUGACUACAAUGAAAAGGCUGAGUAAGAGGGAAUGCGUCCUACCUGACUUGUUUGAGUUGGGAUCAUGGUCUUUCUCAGCCUUCAGACUCGGACUGAAACAGCAGCUCUUCUUGGAUCUCCAGCCUGCCGACUUUCAGCUUGGAACUUAUGCCAUCAGCUCUCAUGGUUCUCAGACCUUCAGACUUGAACUAGAACUACAAACCAGUUUUCCUGGGUCUCCAACUUGUGGACUGCACGUCUUGGGACUUCUCAGCCUCCCUAAUUGUAGCAGAGAAUGUUGAAUAUACGUUGAAGAUGCAUUUGAAAGAGAAGCUAAUACAUGGAGCAAGAACUGAAAGCAGAAAGAAGAUGGAUCAAGAGGACAGAUGGGGAAUCAAUAAAAAUAUGAAUGGAGAAACUUUGCCCUGAACUGGGAGGCAGAAAAUCUAGGAUCUAGCUCUGGUCCUGUCUGCAGAAAGCGAGAAAUGAGAGCGGACCACUCUAUGGAGCUUUCUUCUUCUUACUGAAACCAAAAUAAGAUUUCAAGCUACAUGACAAAGGAAUUCAGAGUUUGGGAAGAAUUGGUUUGUUGUGGUGCAUUCUUUCUAUAUGUGUAUUGCAAAAAAAAUUUAACCUAAAUCAUGUUUUGAGAUAUUACCUUCUUGUAAACUGUCUGAAAUAAAAAUCAAUAGCUUGAUUAUGUUUCUGUAAAAAUCUGUUAGAAAACUUAAAUGAAAUAAAAACAAGUCUUUUUACAACAGCUCCCAAACAAUGUAACACACAACAGAGAAAGAGGUGAGGUUGAAGGGAUAGGCGGGGUGGAGAACAUGCAGGCCUUAUCAUCAGGCACUUGGAAGCCAUGCCAGGGCUUAAGUGGGGCAUGACAUGGUUUGCAUUUUUUAAAAAACCCACUUUGGCUGCUGUAUAGAGAAUGAUUUGUGGGAGCCAAAGUGGACUAGAAGCCGGCUACAGCCCAAGUAAGCGGAGAUGGGGAAUUGAAUGUGUGUUUGUAAAAUGCUGAGCACAGGUUCUUGUGCAGAGUAAGCACUAAUUAAA